GUUAUUUUGGUGUAAUUAUAGCACGGUUGACUUCCAAUUAAAAGGUUUAUUAAAUAACA
This 59-nucleotide transfer RNA is filed under the name Trichuris sp. 2 ARS-2017. RNAcentral's name for it is "tRNA-Gly". The record is from RNAcentral. Lineage: Eukaryota; Metazoa; Nematoda; Enoplea; Trichinellida; Trichuridae.